GGCUCAGAUUGAACGCUGGCGGCAUGCUUUACACAUGCAAGUCGAACGGCAGCACAGGGAGCUUGCUCCCGGGUGGCGAGUGGCGCACGGGUGAGUAAUACAUCGGAACGUGUCCUGUUGUGGGGGAUAACUGCUCGAAAUGACUGCUAAUACCGCAUAAGCGCACAGGAUUGCAUGAUCUGGUGUGAAAAACUCCGGUGGUAUAAGAUGGACCCGCGUCUGAUUAGCUGGUUGGUGAGGUAACGGCCCACCAAGGCGACGAUCAGUAGCCGACCUGAGAGGGUGACCGGCCACAUUGGGACUGAGACACGGCCCAAACUCCUACGGGAGGCAGCAGUGGGGAAUAUUGCACAAUGGGGGAAACCCUGAUGCAGCGACGCCGCGUGAGCGAAGAAGUAUUUCGGUAUGUAAAGCUCUAUCAGCAGGGAAGAAAAAAAUGACGGUACCUGACUAAGAAGCCCCGGCUAACUACGUG
This 475-nucleotide ribosomal RNA is filed under the name uncultured bacterium. Its description in RNAcentral is "bacterial SSU rRNA". It matches the Rfam family "Bacterial small subunit ribosomal RNA", at positions 21 to 507 of the family's 1533-position model. The record is from RNAcentral.